UUACUAAAAAAUUAUUAGUUAUGUUCUUAAAAUUUAAAAAAUUUGGCGGUAUUUUAGUCUUAUUAGAGGAACCUGUUGUAUAAUUGAUAAUCCACGAUUUAUUUUACUUAUUUUAUUAAUUUAUAUAUCGCUGUCAUGAAUAUAUUAAAAAAUUAAUUUUCUUUAAAUUAUUAUUGUAAUUUAUGUUAAGUCAAGAUGUAGUUUAUAAAUAAGUUAUAAAUGGGUUACAUUAAAUUUUAUUUAUGGAUUUUAAAUGAAAAUAAAAAGGAAAUUGAAUUUAAUAGUAAAUUUAAUUAUUUUAUUAAUAUGAAUAAAGAUCUAAAAUAUGUACAUAUUGCCCGUCAUUCUUAUUAAAAAUAAGACAAGUCGUAACAAAGUAAAUGUACUGGAAAGUGUAUUUAGAAAGAUUUAAUUAAUUUAAAAAGUUAUUAAUAAAA
RNAcentral lists this ribosomal RNA (437 nucleotides) under Tuberolachnus salignus. RNAcentral describes it as "partial 12S small subunit ribosomal RNA". Lineage: Eukaryota; Metazoa; Arthropoda; Insecta; Hemiptera; Aphididae. The record is from RNAcentral.